This 465-nucleotide long non-coding RNA is filed under the name Trifolium pratense (red clover). RNAcentral's name for it is "long non-coding RNA (TPRA_LNC010871)". Lineage: Eukaryota; Viridiplantae; Streptophyta; Magnoliopsida; Fabales; Fabaceae. The record is from RNAcentral.
CCAACAUGUUUGGUUUUGUCUUCAACAAUUGAUUCUAACUUCUAAACGCGAGUCUACCAGAAGCCAGGAAUCCUAGCUUUCACGGUGACUCAAAAUCAAUUCUUGAUUUGUUGUUGGGUUACAGAGUCAUAAUUUUUAUUAUUCCAUCACUACCCUUAACCACUAUCAUCAGUUACUCAACACAUAUUCACAACAACACAAAUCCUGAUGAUGUUACCUUUCCUCUCUGAAAUUCACAGCAACACAUAUUCAUCUCCCAAAUAUAGAAACGGUGAUGAUGGUCCUAUUAAAAGCGAGCAAAGACGAGCACAAAUCCUGGAUCUUGAAAUUAGAGAAUUGUGAAAGUGAAAAUGGUGACUUAUUGAGAAAUAUCAUUCAUUGAUUUGGAAGAGAGAUUGAGGUUUUGUAUUGAAGGAAAAAGAAGGUGAGAAAUGAAUAUGUUGAAAGCGUAUUGAGAGAUGAGGG